RNAcentral lists this ribosomal RNA (466 nucleotides) under uncultured bacterium. Its description in RNAcentral is "partial 16S ribosomal RNA". It matches the Rfam family "Bacterial small subunit ribosomal RNA", at positions 29 to 506 of the family's 1533-position model. The record is from RNAcentral.
ACGAACGCUGGCGGCGUGCUUCACCCCUGCCAGUCGCACGGAAAGGCCCUGCUUUUGUGGGGUGCUCGAGUGGCGAACGGGUGAGUAACACGUGAGUAACCUGCCCUUGACUUUGGGAUAACUUCAGGAAACUGGGGCUAAUACCGGAUAGGAGCUCCUGCUGCAUGGUGGGGGUUGGAAAGUUUCGGCGGUUGGGGAUGGACUCGCGGCUUAUCAGCUUGUUGGUGGGGUAGUGGCUUACCAAGGCUUUGACGGGUAGCCGGCCUGAGAGGGUGACCGGCCACAUUGGGACUGAGAUACGGCCCAGACUCCUACGGGAGGCAGCAGUGGGGAAUAUUGCACAAUGGGCGGAAGCCUGAUGCAGCAACGCCGCGUGCGGGAUGACGGCCUUCGGGUUGUAAACCGCUUUCGCCUGUGACGAAGCGUGAGUGACGGUAAUGGGUAAAGAAGCACCGGCUAACUACGU